Molecule: ribosomal RNA, 253 nt
Filed under: uncultured bacterium
Lineage: Bacteria
Description: partial 16S ribosomal RNA
Rfam family: Bacterial small subunit ribosomal RNA
Source: RNAcentral
UACAGAGGGGGCAAGCGUUAUUCGGAAUUAUUGGGCGCAAAGGGCGCGUAGGCGGCUUGGCAAGUGGAAGGUGAAAUCCCUCGGCUUAACCGAGGAACUGCCCUCCAAACUGCUUCGCUUGAGACCGGGAGAGGUGAGUGGAAUUCCCAGUGUAGCGGUGAAAUGCGUAGAUAUUGGGAGGAACACCAGUGGCGAAGGCGGCUCACUGGACCGGUACUGACGCUGAUGCGCGAAAGCGUGGGGAGCAAACGGG